This is a long non-coding RNA of Equus caballus (horse), 2153 nucleotides long. The record is from Ensembl. Lineage: Eukaryota; Metazoa; Chordata; Mammalia; Perissodactyla; Equidae.
ACAUGAUACUUGAGUGAGUCCAUCAAAUUCACACCAAAUGUUUGCCCAGCUGUUAAUUGAAUGCUUCCUGUGAUGGGAAUCUCAUUACUUCCUGUGGCUGGUAGGAAGUCCAGCUCUGGUUUCUUAAGUCAACACGGUGAGUCUCGACUAGCCUUUAAAAAAACAAGAGAGUGAGAGGACACCAGCCCAUGUCCCACACUAAGAUAGCUGGAUGCUUCCUCGUGAACAGAUUUACUAUUGGGGUGCUCUGGCCACCAUGGGCAGCCAGUCUGCUCCAGUGCGAGCGUGCUGUUCUCCAUGGUGUUGGGUGACCCCCGACCUCCCAGCAGCAUCCACUGCUGGAAGAGGUUGAGCUAGAGCUCUGCUGGGAUUUGUCCCAUCAGGAAACUUGGAAAGGAUGCUUGCUGAGAGGUCCUACAGCGUGGGCUAUCAGGGAACGUCCGGUUGUUGUUGCUGAAGCUUGAACUCGCCCUUCACUGACGCACUCUUUCUGAGGCUGGGCCCAGUGUCCCCGAGCCCAGACCUAUGCCACAUAUUUGCCUCCUACACCAACAUGGUGAGAGGGCUGUCGGGGAGUUUUAAAAUUUGGAGACCCUGGCAGUGGGCACUGAGUCUUCUGAAUACAACCAGGAUUCACCAAACAGUUUGCAUAAACAACGAUUAAAAAUAAAGUCUCAUUGGGCGGGCCAAAAGCUGCCAGAGAAGCAGGACAGGAGCAGCCAAACCCAGUUCUGAUAUCAUGUGCUGUGGUGCCCAACAGCACCUGGGAGCCUUAUCGCUUCCUCCCACUGAUUACUGGGCGGCUCCAGCUGAAAAGCAGACAGCAUGUUCUGGGAGCAACAAGGCAACUUUGUACCCAGUCCUUUAAAGUGAAACUAAUACACCAAACCCUGGAGAACUUUAGGUCCUUGGAAACAAAUUCUCAGAUGGCCUUUGUCCCACUGUAAAUAACGUUGCAUUUGCACUCACCCAACUUAAGAGUUUGCACUUGUACAAUAGGCUUUACAAAUAUUGAUGCAAUUUAAGGAAAAACCACAUUUGAAAUGAUGCUUAAAAGAUCUUAAACAGAAGCUUGGCUUGGCUGUAAUUGUUAAGUCUGUAGAAUGAUUUGCAUUUCAUCUUAGUUUUGGGCAGUAAAGCAUUUCUCCUGGCAGUGAUGGCUGUAAACUUGCUCGUCAGUUUAGAUCAGUUGGGACAAACCCCAAGUGGGGACACUCUGUGUGUGCCAGCACCACAGUGCUAAUCACAGCAGGUCACAUUUGUUGAGCUCGCACGUGUGCUAGCACUAGUUUACCCAGCUUACACGAGUCACUGGGUGCCACCCCACAGCCCUAUUCCACCAAGAGGGGCACACCUUACUUGGGGUCACACAGCUGCCAGGAUGCAGGUGGCACACUGGUGCAAGGUAAGAGAUGGCUUAGGGGUAUCAGGGGUCUUCACGCAGGAGGAAGUCACACACAGGCCGCAGUUUUCCUUGGAGGGAGGGUGUUUUAAGCCGUAAGCACUGUGGCCCCAAAGCCCCGGCCGCCUUCCUCCUGCUUAGAGAGGCAGAAAUGAAAGUGGAUGCCAGUGGGUGCACCUAGGCUCCUGUGCCUGCACCCUUCCUUGUUGGGGAUGCGGGGGAGGCUGGGGACAUGAGGGACAUUGGGGAUGUGAGGGACACUGAAGAUGCUGGGGAUGUUUGGGACGUUGCUGACAUUGGGGACAUUGCAGACGCUGGGGACAUUGCAGACGCUGGGGACGCUGAGGAUGCUGGGGACGUUAGAGACAUUGGGGAAGCUGGGGACAUUGGGGACACUGCGGACGCUGGGGACGUCUCAGGUGUCCUGGUCUCCCGCCCCCAGGCUUCUCCUUGUCCUCCGCGCAGGUCAAAGAUAAGUUCAAAGGAAAUCACCGGCUUCCUUUAACCACACAACAGCAAGGGCACCGGGUUGGGCACAGAGCGGCGCCGUUCUCACAAACCCACCUUGCCCACAACCAGGUGUUUCUACAACAUCGGACCUCACCGAGGAGUUCAAAGCUGACCAACGCAGUCGCCAGAGGCGGGAGGACUUCUGGGGUCAAGGAGCCGACAGAGGGCACGCGGGACCGAGGCGCCGACCGCGGGAGCUGCUCUCCCGGCGCUCGGCCCUUCUAGGCCGCGCCUCUCCACU